CUCUUUUUUUUCUUCUGGCACGGUCCAACAGACACUCCUGGCACUUGGCUUCCCGGGGGCUGCUCGCCCCCGGCCCAGAGGCCGGUUUCCAGCGGCAGGCCUUAUUCCACCAUCUUUGCAGCUUCCAAUUCUUUUCAUGUUAAGUUGUUUUUUGGAGAGAUAUAUAAAUUUAUUUUGAGUCCAUUCUAAGUUGUUCUGUCAGUGAAACUCUGUUUAAAACAUGGCUUGUAUGAAGUUGUCAGGAAUCGGCUCUGACACUUGGAUGAUUCUUCAGCUGGCUAUAAAAUUCUAAAAUCAGAGUAACCGUGUAUUGACUUCCAACAUUCCACAUUUCCAAAGGUGUUUCCUGUGAUCUCUGGGAUCCUGAUCCGCACCACUCAACUUUGGCCUCCUAAACUUCAUCCUUGACCCCACCCCAGGUAGGAAGGAUGUGUGGAUAUUUCUUUUAUCUUUCUGCAACGAUGACCUUUUGGAGAAAAAGAAAGGAAGCAGCUAUCAUAGUGUGAAAUUUCACAGCCAAAACUUCUGCAUCAGCUUCAUAAGGCAGGAAGCCUACAAAUUCCCCUCUUAUGUUUUGAGACUCAUCAACAAACCUCACCGAGACUCAUCAACAAAUCUCACCAACAUAGGACCUCUUGACCAGAAUUUAUCCAGCACUCCAGCACGGCUUGCACGUUAUCUGGAGUAAAGAGACCUUCUGGGAUUUCAUCAGCCUCCUGUCCAUCAAGAGAGCCACAGCUAAGAACCUAGAAGGGUAGAAGCAAAAGAUUUUUUUCCUCCUGUAUAAUCCCAAUCCACUACUUAGUUCUUCCAGUUUUUGACUGACUGAAUUUUCAGUGAACUGUGUGUCUAACUGAAGCUUUGAGAGAGAGAGAGAGAGAAAGAAGGAAAAAAAGAAAAGGUUUUACUUCACUUGAACUUGUUAAAAAGGAAGAGACACAGAUCCAGCAUAGUAGAAGGAGAAAGAAAGCAGACAACAGUUUGGAAUGGAGGCAUUGAGACGGAAGAGUCCAUUGGAGAUGGAAUGUACACACAAAAAUAACAAUUUAGGUCCUUUGCUCAUGCAACAUCUUGUUCUAAUGUCCUCUGCUCCAGGUCACAACAUUGAGCUACAAAGUGUGUGCAGUGACUCCAGUCUGCAUUCAUGCUACAAGAUGAUCCGUUUAGUAAGACUGAGCAAGGCUUGUUAACCUCUUGGACGUGAGAGAUUUCCCCUGAGAAAA
Molecule: long non-coding RNA, 1223 nt
Organism: Homo sapiens (human)
Lineage: Eukaryota; Metazoa; Chordata; Mammalia; Primates; Hominidae
Source: Ensembl